This is a long non-coding RNA of Sus scrofa (pig), 902 nucleotides long. RefSeq lists it as uncharacterized. NCBI's taxonomy places the organism in Eukaryota, Metazoa, Chordata, Mammalia, Artiodactyla, Suidae. The record is from RefSeq and is a predicted model, not a curated record.
CGACCUGGGAAAACGGAGUAUCUGGGGGCGUGGCCACGUAAUAGGGGACCGGGCCCGGGGCGUCAAGGUCCUCGUGCUUCUCUUCUCCUCUCCCAGGGCGGGAAAGGGGCUCCAGCGUUCCCUUGCCAUGUGACGUGGAGUAGUGGAGGAGGUGACCCGAAGCCUACCUGCAAGAGCUUUUUCGUAUCUCUUAAUAUACCUUAGAAUUCUUGAGCUCUGACAGCUGUGGACACACCACAUCAGUCCACCCUGGUCAUAAUAAACCUAGGCAUUCCUUUCGACCUGAUACCAAUUGUUCAGUAGCUGGUUUUCAUUAGGUGGGCUUUGCAGAAGCCAGUCUUUCUAGAAAUGAAGCGUAAUCUGAACACUAAGAGUCCCAGCCCAAUGAGCUACACCAGCUUGUGUUAGGGCAUUUCAAACUGGAACCAGCGAUCCACAGGGCUGGAGAGACCUAGGAUCCUUUUGUUGGUGUUGAAUCAGGUAAGAAAACGCACCCAAGUGCAGUCAGGUUUGGACAGUGAACCCUGAAGUACCAGUGACUUGAUAGUAACAUAAACUGCCUGAAGUCUUUGAGAUUUUCUUCCCAGAUUUGGGGACAAGAAGUCUAUCUGUGUUCUCAACUCUGCCACCCGCCAAACGGAGACAAUAAACCAUGCCUAAGCUUUACUUGAUGGCUGCACAGCAGGUGGAAACCAAGAAGCCUGAGACUUGGAAGAAUGACUCAGAAAACUCACCUUAGAACCGUCUCUUCCUGGGGCACCUGGUGGGCCCUACAAGGCAAAGGGACCUAGUUUAACACAAGGAACACACUUUCCCAGUAAGCGGACAGUAAGUGGACUCUGAUGAGAUACUGACCACAGGGCCCCUCCGGCCUUGCUUAAUGUGGGACAGAUCAGGAGACG